CGGCCAGAGUGAGUCAUGGUGAAGAUCGAAUGGUCAGGAUGAAUUAUGGACUUCGAUCAAGACUCUGAUUUCGAUCUGAAUAUGAUUUUUGGGCUUUAAAUAGCUCUGUGGGCCAUAGAAUUGUAGAAGCCGAGAAGGGACCUCAGGCAACCACUGGGAGAGAGUCCGACAGAGCAUCGAGGGUGCACAGUAGGUAGAGCAGACGCAAGCAG
This 212-nucleotide long non-coding RNA is filed under the name Elaeis guineensis (African oil palm). RNAcentral's name for it is "long non-coding RNA (EGUI_LNC016792)". Lineage: Eukaryota; Viridiplantae; Streptophyta; Magnoliopsida; Arecales; Arecaceae. The record is from RNAcentral.